CCUACGGGAGGCUGCAGUGGGGAAUAUUGCACAAUGGGCGCAAGCCUGAUGCAGCCAUGCCGCGUGUGUGAAGAAGGCCUUCGGGUUGUAAAGCACUUUCAGCGGGGAGGAAGGCGUUAAGGUUAAUAACCUUGUCGAUUGACGUUACCCGCAGAAGAAGCACCGGCUAACUCCGUGCCAGCAGGCGCGGUAAUACGGAGGGUGCAAGCGUUAAUCGGAAUUACUGGGCGUAAAGCGCACGCAGGCGGUCUGUCAAGUCGGAUGUGAAAUCCCCGGGCUCAACCUGGGAACUGCAUUCGAAACUGGCAGGCUAGAGUCUUGUAGAGGGGGGUAGAAUUCCAGGUGUAGCGGGGAAAUGCGUAGAGAUCUGGAGGAAUACCGGGGGCGAAGGCGGCCCCCUGACAAAGACUGACGCUCAGGUGCGAAAGCGUGGGGAGCAAACAGGAUUAGAUACCCUAGUAGUC
RNAcentral lists this ribosomal RNA (464 nucleotides) under uncultured Klebsiella sp. Its description in RNAcentral is "bacterial SSU rRNA". It matches the Rfam family "Bacterial small subunit ribosomal RNA", at positions 338 to 795 of the family's 1533-position model. The record is from RNAcentral. Lineage: Bacteria; Pseudomonadati; Pseudomonadota; Gammaproteobacteria; Enterobacterales; Enterobacteriaceae.